GUCUAAAGCCAUGCCACCUUGAACAAGCCCAGUGUCUGAUCUUGGAAGCUAAGCAAGGUCAGGCCUGGUUAAUACUUGGAUAGGAGACCACCUAGGAAGACUAGGUGCUGUAGGCA
This 116-nucleotide ribosomal RNA is filed under the name Pteropus alecto (black flying fox). The record is from RNAcentral. Lineage: Eukaryota; Metazoa; Chordata; Mammalia; Chiroptera; Pteropodidae.